CUCGGAGUUAGUAUUAUUGUAUUUGCACUUUUUGCUGAUUCUCGAAAAAAUGUUUUUAUAGGCCUUGAUGUCAUGAUGUCAUAAUGAUGUAUGAACAACAUGUCCCUUUCAUCAAAUAAAGUAACAUACCAACAGUUUAUCCCUUUUUUAAGUCUCGUAAUUUCAGCAAAGUGUUUCCUGGACUUUUUUUUAUAUUUUGUGCGUUUUUCUACUUAAUUUUUUUGAUGGCUUAAUUGAUAUCGAUCCCUUCUU
This 252-nucleotide long non-coding RNA is filed under the name Mytilus galloprovincialis (Mediterranean mussel). Lineage: Eukaryota; Metazoa; Mollusca; Bivalvia; Mytilida; Mytilidae. The record is from RNAcentral.